GCCUGGUUAGCUCAAUCGGUAGAGCGUUUGACUCUUAUAAACUGGAUAUCAAAAGGUUGCGGGUUCGACCCCCGCAUCGGGCU
This 83-nucleotide transfer RNA is filed under the name Scheffersomyces stipitis CBS 6054. It matches the Rfam family "tRNA". From Rfam's summary of the family: Transfer RNA (tRNA) molecules are approximately 80 nucleotides in length. Their secondary structure includes four short double-helical elements and three loops (D, anti-codon, and T loops). Further hydrogen bonds mediate the characteristic L-shaped molecular structure. tRNAs have two regions of fundamental functional importance: the anti-codon, which is responsible for specific mRNA codon recognition, and the 3' end, to which the tRNAs corresponding amino acid is attached (by aminoacyl-tRNA synthetases). tRNAs cope with the degeneracy of the genetic code in two manners: having more than one tRNA (with a specific anti-codon) for a particular amino acid; and 'wobble' base-pairing, i.e. permitting non-standard base-pairing at the 3rd anti-codon position. Lineage: Eukaryota; Fungi; Ascomycota; Pichiomycetes; Serinales; Debaryomycetaceae. The record is from Rfam by way of RNAcentral.